GAACGCUAGCGACAGGCUAACACAUGCAAGUCGAGGGGUAACAGGGUAGCAAUACCGCUGACGACCGGCGCACGGGUGAGUAACGCGUAUGCAACCUGCCUAUAACUGGGGAAUAGCUCCCUGAAAGGGGAAUUAACACCGCAUAACACUAUUGAUUCGCAUGGAUUAGUAGUUAAAUGUAGCGAUACAGGUUAUAGAUGGGCAUGCGUGACAUUAGCUAGUUGGUGAGGUAACGGCUCACCAAGGCUACGAUGUCUAGGGGUUCUGCGAGGAAGGUCCCCCCACACUGGUACUGAGACACGGACCAGACUCCUACGGGAGGCAGCAGUGAGGAAUAUUGGUCAAUGGGCGCAAGCCUGAACCAGCCAUGUCGCGUGCAGGAAGAACUGCCCUAUGGGUUGUAAACUGCUUUUAUAGUAGAAGAAACACAUCUACGUGUAGAUGUCUGCCAGUAUACUAUGAAUAAGCAUCGGCUAACUCCGUGCCAGCCGCGGC
RNAcentral lists this ribosomal RNA (495 nucleotides) under uncultured bacterium. RNAcentral's name for it is "bacterial SSU rRNA". It matches the Rfam family "Bacterial small subunit ribosomal RNA", at positions 31 to 518 of the family's 1533-position model. The record is from RNAcentral.